GCCGGUGUGGCGAAAUGGCAGACGCGACGGACUCAAAAUCCGUUUCCCUCUAAAGGAGUGUCGGUUCGAGUCCGACCACCGGUACCA
This 87-nucleotide transfer RNA is filed under the name Geothrix sp. RNAcentral's name for it is "tRNA-Leu". It matches the Rfam family "tRNA". From Rfam's summary of the family: Transfer RNA (tRNA) molecules are approximately 80 nucleotides in length. RNAcentral also lists the same sequence under 3 other names. Lineage: Bacteria; Pseudomonadati; Acidobacteriota; Holophagae; Holophagales; Holophagaceae. The record is from RNAcentral.